Molecule: small RNA, 172 nt
Filed under: Burkholderia sp.
Lineage: Bacteria; Pseudomonadati; Pseudomonadota; Betaproteobacteria; Burkholderiales; Burkholderiaceae
Description: Manganese sequence
Rfam family: Manganese Mn2+ riboswitch aptamer (yybP-ykoY)
About the family: This RNA was originally discovered in E. coli during a large scale screen and was named SraF. The family was later found to exist upstream of related families of protein genes in many bacteria, including the the yybP and ykoK genes in B. subtilis.
Source: RNAcentral
GCCGCUGUCUUUGGGGAGUAGCCGGCUUCUAUCUGCGUAGAAGCGCCUGCGUCAACAUUCUCGGUCGCAUAGACCGUGGCGCAGGUAGCCCUUGGGUUGGCAAGACCAUCGACACAUCACGCGACCGGUCGGGCGCGCGGUGUGUCGCGGUUUCCGCCCGACCUUGAGCGCC